GAUGAACGCUGGCGGCGUGCCUAAUACAUGCAAGUCGAGCGAACGGACGAGAAGCUUGCUCCUCUGACGUUAGCGGCGGACGGGUGAGUAACACGUGGAUAACCUACCUAUAAGACUGGGAUAACUUCGGGAAACCGGAGCUAAUACCGGAUAAUAUUUUGAACCGCAUGGUUCAAUAGUAAAAGACGGUCUUGCUGUCACUUAUAGAUGGAUCCGCGCUGCAUUAGCUAGUUGGUAAGGUAACGGCUUACCAAGGCAACGAUGCAUAGCCGACCUGAGAGGGUGAUCGGCCACACUGGAACUGAGACACGGUCCAGACUCCUACGGGAGGCAGCAGUAGGGAAUCUUCCGCAAUGGGCGAAAGCCUGACGGAGCAACGCCGCGUGAGUGAUGAAGGUCUUCGGAUCGUAAAACUCUGUUAUUAGGGAAGAACAUAUGUGUAAGUAACUAUGCACAUCUUGACGGUACCUAAUCAGAAAGCCACGGCUAACUACGUG
This 497-nucleotide ribosomal RNA is filed under the name uncultured bacterium. RNAcentral's name for it is "partial 16S ribosomal RNA". It matches the Rfam family "Bacterial small subunit ribosomal RNA", at positions 28 to 507 of the family's 1533-position model. The record is from RNAcentral.